RNAcentral lists this ribosomal RNA (1003 nucleotides) under uncultured bacterium. RNAcentral's name for it is "bacterial SSU rRNA". It matches the Rfam family "Bacterial small subunit ribosomal RNA", at positions 355 to 1375 of the family's 1533-position model. The record is from RNAcentral.
UGGGGAAUAUUGGGCAAUGGGGGAAACCCUGACCCAGCAACGCCGCGUGAAGGAAGAAGGUUUUCGGAUCGUAAACUUCUAUCCUUGGUGAAAAUAGUGAUGGUAGCCAAGAAGGAAGCCCCGGCUAACUACGUGCCAGCAGCCGCGGUAAUACGUAGGGGGCAAGCGUUGUCCGGAAUGAUUGGGCGUAAAGGGCGCGUAGGCGGCCUGGUAAGUUUGAAGUGAAAGUCCUUCUUUUAAGGAGGGAACUGCUUUGAAAACUGUCGGGCUUGAGUGCAGGAGAGGUAAGCGGAAUUCCCGGUGUAGCGGUGAAAUGCGUAGAGAUCGGGAGGAACACCAGUGGCGAAGGCGGCUUACUGGACUGUUACUGACGCUGAGGCGCGAAAGUGUGGGGAGCAAACAGGAUUAGAUACCCUGGUAGUCCACACUGUAAACGAUGAAUGCUAGGUGUAGGGGGUAUCGACCCCUUCUGUGCCGGAGUAAACACAAUAAGCAUUCCGCCUGGGGAGUACGGCCGCAAGGUUGAAACUCAAAGGAAUUGACGGGGGCCCGCACAAGCAGCGGAGCAUGUGGUUUAAUUCGAAGCAACGCGAAGAACCUUACCAGGUCUUGACAUCCAGGUAAAGCCGUAGAGAUACGGUGUGUGCUUGCACAAUCUGAGACAGGUGGUGCAUGGUUGUCGUCAGCUCGUGUCGUGAGAUGUUGGGUUAAGUCCCGCAACGAGCGCAACCCUUGUGAUCAGUUACUAACGGGUAAUGCCGAGGACUCUGAUAAGACUGCCGGGGACAACUCGGAGGAAGGUGGGGACGACGUCAAAUCAUCAUGCCCCUUAUGACCUGGGCUACACACGUGCUACAAUGGCCACGACAGAGAGAAGCGAAUUCGAGAGGAAGAGCGGAUCUCAAAAAAGUGGUCCCAGUUCGGAUUGUGGGCUGCAACCCGCCCACAUGAAGUCGGAGUUGCUAGUAAUCGCGGAUCAGCAUGCCGCGGUGAAUACGUUCCC